GAUACAUCAUUGAAGAGAUCAUAAUCGUUUGUCUUCGCACUUCCCGAAUUUCCCGAUAAAGUUAGGUUAGUUUAGUUUUGUUAUAAAAAUAAUUAUCUUCAUUUUGCCAAAAACAAUUAAGUUGUUAUCGUUUUUCUAACACAGCAGAUAGUGUACCUAUUUAUUAAAAAAUAAUUCCAUAUCAAAAGCCAGUGUUAGUUACAAUAAUUGUAGUAAUAUAUAGAUUAUCUAAAUAUCCGUAAGAUGGCGCUUAAACGUGUUUUGAUUGUAAACAAAACUUUUCCUGUUGCCGGCUUGGAAUUAAUGAAAAAUCGGGUAGAAAUGACAGUGUUGCCAUACUCGGAUGAACACCCCGACAGUCUGGCGGACAUCAAAAGAAACAUCCCCGGCGUUGACGCAUUGAUAUGGAACACGAAACACCAACUCAACAAGGAAAUACUCAAUUUAGCUGGCCCUCAACUGAGAGCCAUCUCCACCAUGUCAUCUGGUGUGGACCAAGUGGACGUGGAAGAGGUCAAGGUGCGUGGUCUUCCACUGGGAAAUACUCCGAAAGUGCUGGACGACGCAGUUGCUGAUAUUACGGUCGGGUUGCUGAUAGCUGCUGCCAGGAGGUUCAAGGAAGCUGUGGAGGAAUUGGUCACUGGCGAAUGGAAGUACGGCGUGCAAUGGAUGAUCGGGCAGGACAUAGCGGGCAGCACCGUAGGCAUCGUCGGCCUGGGCGGCAUCGGCCAGGCGGUCGUCAGACGACUGCGCGGCUUCGAUGUUGCCAGGUUCCUGUACACCGGGAGGACUGACAAACCUGAAGCAAAAUCUCUCGGAGCAGAACGAGUACCGUUGGAGCAGCUACUCCGAGAGAGUGACUACGUGGUCCUCAGCUGCCCUCUGACGGCCGAGAGCCGGAACAUGAUCAACAAGGACUCCUUGCAACUCAUGAAGAGCAACUGCGUGCUUAUUAACAUUGCUAGAGGAGGUCUAGUAGACCAAGAGGCUCUGUAUGACGCGUUGAAGGAGAAACGGAUCUUCGCGGCUGGACUCGACGUGGUCACCCCUGAACCGCUUCCUAAAGACCACAAGCUGAUAACCCUUCCUAAUUGCUAUAUUUUACCUCAUAUGGGAAGCGCUACGAUCGAAACCAGAAACGCCAUGGCGAAGAUAUCAGCAAAUAACAUCCUUCUCGCUUUAGAAGGAAAACCUAUGCUGUUUCCAGCAUACUGAGUAGUAUAUGCUCGUAUUAUGCAUUUUCUGUUUACUUUAAAAUCAAAAUGUGUUACGAAAUAUAAUAUUAUUCUAUCCAUAUAAGGAAAUUAUUAAGUAAAAGUUGACGUUCAGUUAUUGCGUGAAUGACCCUUAUCUUUUUAAACGGGUCUCACUCGCGAUAUGAGAGAAAAAGAGACAAAAAACAAUAUCCAGUCAAGUUCAAGGACCGGUCAGGGAAUAAAUAAACAGAACCGUUCCGAUGCAAAGCAUAUUCGAUCAAUUUUUAUCUUGGUUCUAUUCUACUGUAAAGAGCGCGGGUACGUUAAAAUACCUAAAUAAAAAAGUUAACGAUUUACUUUUAAAUCGCCUUUUGGCGGUUUUUAGUGAUUUUAAUUUUGAUAAACGCGGUAUUUUUUUAUAUUUUUUUCAUUUCUUGUUAUCAAUCGUAGUAGUUGAGAUUGUUUGAGAUAAGAAACAAUAAGUGCUGUUACGUAACCACGAUGUGUAUUUAUGUCAUUGCCGCCGCGUUGUUAGCUUGUGUUCUGCCGCCGAGCUACGGAAACCCGCCAACAACAAUGGCGCAAAAUAAAGUGUUAGUGUCAUCAAAGGAUUUCCCGGAAAGCGGAUUGAAAGUGCUCCAAGAUAACAAUUUUACAGUAGUUCAAACCCAAUUUCUGAACUUCGGCGAAGAGGGGAAGACCAAGAAUAACGAGGAGCUCUUGAAGCUGAUCCCGGGAUCUUCUGCGCUCAUCUGGGUGUCCAACUUGCCACUCAGCACUGAGCUGUUG
This 1985-nucleotide unclassified non-coding RNA is filed under the name Pectinophora gossypiella (pink bollworm). Its description in RNAcentral is "glyoxylate reductase/hydroxypyruvate reductase-like". Lineage: Eukaryota; Metazoa; Arthropoda; Insecta; Lepidoptera; Gelechiidae. The record is from RNAcentral.